GUGGGGAAUCUUCCGCAAUGGACGAAAGUCUGACGGAGCAACGCCGCGUGAGUGAAGAAGGUUUUCGGAUCGUAAAGCUCUUUCGUUAGGGACGAACGUGCUCUUUGUGAAUAAUGAGGAGUAAUGACGGUACCUAAAUAAGAAGCCACGGCUAACUACGUGCCAGCAGCCGCGGUAAUACGUAGGUGGCAAGCGUUGUCCGGAAUUAUUGGGCGUAAAGCGCGCGCAGGCGGGAUAUCAAGUCUGUCUUAAAAGUGCGAGGCUCAACCUCGUGAGGGGACAUAAACUGGUAUUCUUGAGUGUCGGAGAGGAAAGUGGAAUUCCAAGUGUAGCGGUGAAAUGCGUAGAGAUUUGGAAGAACACCAGUGGCGAAGGCGACUUUCUGGACGAUGUCUGACGCUGAGGCGCGAAAGCUAGGGGAGCGAACGGGAUUAGAAACCCUGGUAGUCC
RNAcentral lists this ribosomal RNA (450 nucleotides) under uncultured bacterium. Its description in RNAcentral is "partial 16S ribosomal RNA". It matches the Rfam family "Bacterial small subunit ribosomal RNA", at positions 354 to 796 of the family's 1533-position model. The record is from RNAcentral.